Molecule: ribosomal RNA, 718 nt
Filed under: uncultured bacterium
Lineage: Bacteria
Description: bacterial SSU rRNA
Rfam family: Bacterial small subunit ribosomal RNA
Source: RNAcentral
AGAGUUUGAUCCUGGCUCAGAUUGAACGCUGGCGGAAUGCUUUACACAUGCAAGUCGAGCGGCAGCGCGGUCUUCGGACUGGCGGCGAGCGGCGAACGGGUGAGUAAUACAUCGGAACAUGCCCAGUCGUGGGGGAUAACACUUCGAAAGAAGUGCUAAUACCGCAUACGUCCUGAGGGAGAAAGCGGGGGAUCGCAAGACCUCGCGCGAUUGGAGUGGCCGAUGUCAGAUUAGCUAGUUGGUGGGGUAAAGGCCUACCAAGGCAACGAUCUGUAGCUGGUCUGAGAGGAUGAUCAGCCACACUGGGACUGAGACACGGCCCAGACUCCUACGGGAGGCAGCAGUGGGGAAUUUUGGACAAUGGGGGCAACCCUGAUCCAGCCAUUCCGCGUGAGUGAAGAAGGCCUUCGGGUUGUAAAGCUCUUUCGGCAGGAACGAAACGGCGAGCUCUAACAUAGCUCGCUAAUGACGGUACCUGAAGAAGAAGCACCGGCUAACUACGUGCCAGCAGCCGCGGUAAUACGUAGGGUGCGAGCGUUAAUCGGAAUUACUGGGCGUAAAGCGUGCGCAGGCGGUUGUGUAAGACAGGUGUGAAAUCCCCGGGCUUAACCUGGGAACUGCGCUUGUGACUGCACGGCUAGAGUAUGGCAGAGGGGGGUGGAAUUCCACGUGUAGCAGUGAAAUGCGUAGAGAUGUGGAGGAACACCGAUGGCGAAGG